UGGGGAAUUUUGGACAAUGGGCGAAAGCCUGAUCCAGCCAUGCCGCGUGCGGGAAGAAGGCCUUCGGGUUGUAAACCGCUUUUGUCAGGGAAGAAAAGCGUCGUUCUAAUAAAGCGACGUCAUGACGGUACCUGAAGAAUAAGCACCGGCUAACUACGUGCCAGCAGCCGCGGUAAUACGUAGGGUGCAAGCGUUAAUCGGAAUUACUGGGCGUAAAGCGUGCGCAGGCGGCUUUGCAAGACAGAUGUGAAAUCCCCGGGCUUAACCUGGGAACUGCAUUUGUGACUGCAUGGCUCGAGUGCGGCAGAGGGGGAUGGAAUUCCGCGUGUAGCAGUGAAAUGCGUAGAUAUGCGGAGGAACACCGAUGGCGAAGGCAAUCCCCUGGGCCUGCACUGACGCUCAUGCACGAAAGCGUGGGGAGCAAACA
Molecule: ribosomal RNA, 427 nt
Filed under: uncultured Burkholderiales bacterium
Lineage: Bacteria; Pseudomonadati; Pseudomonadota; Betaproteobacteria; Burkholderiales
Description: bacterial SSU rRNA
Rfam family: Bacterial small subunit ribosomal RNA
Source: RNAcentral